Molecule: ribosomal RNA, 220 nt
Filed under: Salmonella enterica
Lineage: Bacteria; Pseudomonadati; Pseudomonadota; Gammaproteobacteria; Enterobacterales; Enterobacteriaceae
Also listed under: 4 other names
Description: partial 23S ribosomal RNA
Rfam family: Bacterial large subunit ribosomal RNA
Source: RNAcentral
ACAUAAGUAACGAUAAAGCGGGUGAAAAGCCCGCUCGCCGGAAGACCAAGGGUUCCUGUCCAACGUUAAUCGGGGCAGGGUGAGUCGACCCCUAAGGCGAGGCCGAAAGGCGUAGUCGAUGGGAAACAGGUUAAUAUUCCUGUACUUGGUGUUACUGCGAAGGGGGGACGGAGAAGGCUAUGUUGGCCGGGCGACGGUUGUCCCGGUUUAAGCGUGUAGG